UACGUAGGGCGCAAGCGUUGUCCGGAAUUAUUGGGCGUAAAGAGCUCGUAGGCGGUCUGUCACGUCGGCUGUGAAAACCCGAGGCUCAACCUCGGGCCUGCAGUCGAUACGGGCAAACUAGAGUGUUGCAGGGGAGACUGGAAUUCCUGGUGUAGCGGUGAAAUGCGCAGAUAUCAGGAGGAACACCGGUGGCGAAGGCGGCAUCCUGGACCGGUAUUGACGCUGAGGCGCGAAAGCUAGGGGAGCAAACGGG
Molecule: ribosomal RNA, 253 nt
Filed under: uncultured bacterium
Lineage: Bacteria
Description: partial 16S ribosomal RNA
Rfam family: Bacterial small subunit ribosomal RNA
Source: RNAcentral